Molecule: ribosomal RNA, 170 nt
Filed under: uncultured Ethanoligenens sp.
Lineage: Bacteria; Bacillati; Bacillota; Clostridia; Eubacteriales; Oscillospiraceae
Description: partial 16S ribosomal RNA
Rfam family: Bacterial small subunit ribosomal RNA
Source: RNAcentral
CCUACGGGAGGCAGCAGUGGGGGAUAUUGCACAAUGGAGGAAACUCUGAUGCAGCGACGCCGCGUGAGGGAAGAAGGUCUUCGGAUUGUAAACCUCUGUCUUUGGGGACGAAUCAAUGACGGUACCCAAGGAGGAAGCCACGGCUAACUACGUGCCAGCAGCCGCGGUAA